Molecule: ribosomal RNA, 16 nt
Filed under: Saccharum spontaneum (wild sugarcane)
Lineage: Eukaryota; Viridiplantae; Streptophyta; Magnoliopsida; Poales; Poaceae
Also listed under: 1 other name
Source: RNAcentral
UCAUACCAGCGCUACA